This 2247-nucleotide ribosomal RNA is filed under the name Staphylococcus aureus DAR1065. RNAcentral describes it as "bacterial LSU rRNA". It matches the Rfam family "Bacterial large subunit ribosomal RNA", at positions 675 to 2925 of the family's 2925-position model. Lineage: Bacteria; Bacillati; Bacillota; Bacilli; Caryophanales; Staphylococcaceae. The record is from RNAcentral.
AAGCGAGUCUGAAUAGGGCGUUUAGUAUUUGGUCGUAGACCCGAAACCAGGUGAUCUACCCUUGGUCAGGUUGAAGUUCAGGUAACACUGAAUGAAGGACCGAACCGACUUACGUUGAAAAGUGAGCGGAUGAACUGAGGGUAGCGGAGAAAUUCCAAUCGAACCUGGAGAUAGCUGGUUCUCUCCGAAAUAGCUUUAGGGCUAGCCUCAAGUGAUGAUUAUUGGAGGUAGAGCACUGUUUGGACGAGGGGCCCCUCUCGGGUUACCGAAUUCAGACAAACUCCGAAUGCCAAUUAAUUUAACUUGGGAGUCAGAACAUGGGUGAUAAGGUCCGUGUUCGAAAGGGAAACAGCCCAGACCACCAGCUAAGGUCCCAAAAUAUAUGUUAAGUGGAAAAGGAUGUGGCGUUGCCCAGACAACUAGGAUGUUGGCUUAGAAGCAGCCAUCAUUUAAAGAGUGCGUAAUAGCUCACUAGUCGAGUGACACUGCGCCGAAAAUGUACCGGGGCUAAACAUAUUACCGAAGCUGUGGAUUGUCCUUUGGACAAUGGUAGGAGAGCGUUCUAAGGGCGUUGAAGCAUGAUCGUAAGGACAUGUGGAGCGCUUAGAAGUGAGAAUGCCGGUGUGAGUAGCGAAAGACGGGUGAGAAUCCCGUCCACCGAUUGACUAAGGUUUCCAGAGGAAGGCUCGUCCGCUCUGGGUUAGUCGGGUCCUAAGCUGAGGCCGACAGGCGUAGGCGAUGGAUAACAGGUUGAUAUUCCUGUACCACCUAUAAUCGUUUUAAUCGAUGGGGGGACGCAGUAGGAUAGGCGAAGCGUGCGAUUGGAUUGCACGUCUAAGCAGUAAGGCUGAGUAUUAGGCAAAUCCGGUACUCGUUAAGGCUGAGCUGUGAUGGGGAGAAGACAUUGAGUCUUCGAGUCGUUGAUUUCACACUGCCGAGAAAAGCCUCUAGAUAGAAAAUAGGUGCCCGUACCGCAAACCGACACAGGUAGUCAAGAUGAGAAUUCUAAGGUGAGCGAGCGAACUCUCGUUAAGGAACUCGGCAAAAUGACCCCGUAACUUCGGGAGAAGGGGUGCUCUUUAGGGUUAACGCCCAGAAGAGCCGCAGUGAAUAGGCCCAAGCGACUGUUUAUCAAAAACACAGGUCUCUGCUAAACCGUAAGGUGAUGUAUAGGGGCUGACGCCUGCCCGGUGCUGGAAGGUUAAGAGGAGUGGUUAGCUUCUGCGAAGCUACGAAUCGAAGCCCCAGUAAACGGCGGCCGUAACUAUAACGGUCCUAAGGUAGCGAAAUUCCUUGUCGGGUAAGUUCCGACCCGCACGAAAGGCGUAACGAUUUGGGCACUGUCUCAACGAGAGACUCGGUGAAAUCAUAGUACCUGUGAAGAUGCAGGUUACCCGCGACAGGACGGAAAGACCCCGUGGAGCUUUACUGUAGCCUGAUAUUGAAAUUCGGCACAGCUUGUACAGGAUAGGUAGGAGCCUUUGAAACGUGAGCGCUAGCUUACGUGGAGGCGCUGGUGGGAUACUACCCUAGCUGUGUUGGCUUUCUAACCCGCACCACUUAUCGUGGUGGGAGACAGUGUCAAGCGGGCAGUUUGACUGGGGCGGUCGCCUCCUAAAAGGUAACGGAGGCGCUCAAAGGUUCCCUCAGAAUGGUUGGAAAUCAUUCAUAGAGUGUAAAGGCAUAAGGGAGCUUGACUGCGAGACCUACAAGUCGAGCAGGGUCGAAAGACGGACUUAGUGAUCCGGUGGUUCCGCAUGGAAGGGCCAUCGCUCAACGGAUAAAAGCUACCCCGGGGAUAACAGGCUUAUCUCCCCCAAGAGUUCACAUCGACGGGGAGGUUUGGCACCUCGAUGUCGGCUCAUCGCAUCCUGGGGCUGUAGUCGGUCCCAAGGGUUGGGCUGUUCGCCCAUUAAAGCGGUACGCGAGCUGGGUUCAGAACGUCGUGAGACAGUUCGGUCCCUAUCCGUCGUGGGCGUAGGAAAUUUGAGAGGAGCUGUCCUUAGUACGAGAGGACCGGGAUGGACAUACCUCUGGUGUACCAGUUGUCGUGCCAACGGCAUAGCUGGGUAGCUAUGUGUGGACGGGAUAAGUGCUGAAAGCAUCUAAGCAUGAAGCCCCCCUCAAGAUGAGAUUUCCCAACUUCGGUUAUAAGAUCCCUCAAAGAUGAUGAGGUUAAUAGGUUCGAGGUGGAAGCAUGGUGACAUGUGGAGCUGACGAAUACUAAUCGAUCGAAGACUUAAUCAA